GGUACGCCCGGUCCCUUUCCGAACCCGGAAGCUAAGCCCGAUUGCGCUGAUGGUACUGCACCUGGGAGGGUGUGGGAGAGUAGGUCGCCGCCAACC
This 96-nucleotide ribosomal RNA is filed under the name Corynebacterium diphtheriae. RNAcentral also lists the same sequence under 2 other names. Lineage: Bacteria; Bacillati; Actinomycetota; Actinomycetes; Mycobacteriales; Corynebacteriaceae. The record is from RNAcentral.